This is an RNA transcript of Hippopotamus amphibius kiboko, 3064 nucleotides long. It is a transcript of the gene named ELAV like RNA binding protein 3, with no coding region annotated. NCBI's taxonomy places the organism in Eukaryota, Metazoa, Chordata, Mammalia, Artiodactyla, Hippopotamidae. The transcript is spliced from 8 exons. The record is from RefSeq and is a predicted model, not a curated record.
GGGCGGGCGAGGGGAGAGGACUGAACACCGGGGACCGGACAGGCCGGGCCGAGGGGCGGCAGCGAAAGGCAGAGCGCCGCGAUCUCUGUCGGGAAGCGCAACCUCCCCGGGCCCCGCGGGGCCGCGCAGGGGGCGUUCUCAGUCCCGCGCCCGCUCCCUCUUUCCAUCCCCUGCCGCCCGCAGGCCAUCCCGGGGCCCGGUUAUCCGCGCGCGCGUACCCGGGCUCGGGCCUCUCCCCGGUCCUCGAGGGAGCCGUUGCCCUCACCGAGACCUCUGCAGCGGCCGCACCAGAGGCCGCCUGGGCAGGACCCCGGCGUGAGCAUCGAGCGCCCCCCAAGGAGUGCACGACCCCCGGAGCCGCCCUCAACACGGACCGCGCCCGCCGGGCACACAAGAAUGGUCACUCAGAUACUCGGGGCCAUGGAGUCUCAGGUGGCGGGGGGCCCGGCCGGCCCGGCCCUGCCCAACGGGCCACUCCUUGGUACAAACGGAGCCACUGAUGACAGCAAGACCAACCUCAUCGUCAACUACCUGCCCCAGAACAUGACCCAGGAUGAGUUCAAGAGUCUCUUCGGCAGCAUUGGUGACAUUGAGUCCUGCAAGUUGGUUCGGGACAAGAUCACAGGGCAGAGCCUCGGCUAUGGGUUUGUGAACUACUCUGACCCCAACGAUGCAGACAAAGCCAUCAACACCCUCAACGGCCUCAAACUGCAGACAAAGACCAUCAAGGUGUCCUAUGCCCGACCCAGCUCUGCCUCCAUCCGGGAUGCGAACCUGUACGUCAGCGGGCUCCCCAAGACCAUGAGCCAGAAAGAGAUGGAGCAGCUCUUCUCUCAGUACGGCCGCAUCAUCACUUCUCGCAUCCUGGUGGACCAGGUCACAGGUGUCUCUCGGGGUGUGGGAUUCAUCCGCUUUGACAAGAGGAUCGAGGCCGAGGAGGCCAUCAAAGGACUGAACGGGCAGAAGCCGCUGGGAGCGGCUGAGCCCAUCACGGUCAAGUUUGCCAACAACCCGAGUCAGAAGACCGGGCAGGCCCUGCUUACUCACCUGUACCAGUCCUCCGCCCGGCGCUACGCAGGCCCCCUGCACCAUCAGACACAGCGCUUCCGGCUGGACAAUUUGCUCAACAUGGCCUACGGAGUCAAGAGUCCCCUGUCGCUUAUCGCCAGGUUCUCACCCAUCGCCAUCGAUGGCAUGAGCGGCCUUGCGGGCGUGGGCCUGUCGGGGGGCGCGGCGGGCGCAGGCUGGUGCAUCUUCGUGUACAACCUGUCUCCGGAGGCGGACGAGAGCGUGCUGUGGCAGCUGUUCGGGCCCUUCGGGGCGGUCACCAACGUCAAGGUCAUCCGUGACUUCACCACCAACAAGUGCAAGGGCUUCGGCUUCGUCACCAUGACCAACUACGACGAGGCGGCCAUGGCCAUCGCCAGCCUCAACGGCUACCGCCUGGGCGAGCGCGUGCUGCAGGUGUCCUUCAAGACCAGCAAACAGCACAAGGCCUGAGGCGCCGCCGCCCUCCCCACCCUCCCCAGGCAGCAGAGACAGACAGAGAGAGAGAGAGAGAGAGAGAGAGAGAGAGAGAGAGAGGGGGGCCCGAGAGAGACAGCGCAGGCAGACCAUGGACGGCACGAGGGCCCCGCGUCCCUGCAGAAGCCACAGGCCUCAGUGCCCUUCCUCCGAUGUCCCUGCGUUUGGUGUCUGGCCAUGGCCCCAUCUGACUGCCCAGCUCUCUCUCCCCCACCCCUCCCGGUGUUGUUAAACGUCUGUGGAGCUUCUGCUGCAAGGAACAAAAAGAAAAAAAAAAAAAAUCAAAAAAGCGACAAAAAAACACAAACAGAAGAGGAAAAAAAGCGACAAAAAAAAGGAAGAGAAAAAAAAAAAAACCCCACACAGAAGAGAUUUAAAAAAAAAAAAACAGGAAAAAAAAAACAAAAAAACAGACACGAACUGGCACCAGUUAACUUUCUUGUACUUUUUUGCCGAAUUGAGCUUCUUGUAGUUUUAACUUAUUGCUAUGUUAACUAUUUAUCCUCCUUGUUGCCCUGUAAGGACAUUUGUGUAUAUUUCUGUUCCUUCAUCCAGUUUGCAAGUUUAAAGGAACCACGAUGUUCUCUUUGUUUCUUUAAGUUUUUGCCGAGACGUGGUUAUGCCUAAUUUAUUUAUAAAAGGGGAAGUGGAAUCAUUAAAGUAAUAAUAAUUAUUAAUAACAGUAAUGGUAGCCGAGCGGCGCCCCAGGGGGCCUGUGCUCUGCAGGGCGGUCCCCGCGGCCAGCGACGUCCGGGGUCUUAAUGGGAUUAUUUUUGCUUGUCUUGAGAAUUUUUUCAGUCCUAUUUAGCUGGUGAAACCCUAGCUUGUUCUUGAUACACGAACCUAUUUAUUCUUGUGGUUUUUAAGUCCUCCCCGACCUCCCCACUCCCCUCCAGCAGGGCAGGCCCCCUAGCGGGUCCAUCCCUCUCCCUCUGUUUUCUUGGGGCUUUCUCCCCUCUGCCCUCCGCGCGCGGUGACACGUGUCCACACGUGGGCAGCGUGGCGGAGGCAUCUGUGAGCAAUAAGCGCUGGGUUUGUCCCCCACCCUGGGGGGGGCCGGGCUCUGGAGAGGGGGCACCUCCCCACACCCCCUCACUGAGGCCUGGGCCCCUGCCACCCCCAAGACUGGGAGGGGACUCCUUUUUCUAAAACACAGAACUCAGCCCAGCCAGCCAGGCCCCCUUCCUGGAGGCCAGCCCCUCACCCCAGGGGAGAGGGCCUGGGGUCUUCCACAUCCCUGGGGGGCAGGGGCAGGGCCCGUGGAGAAGGGGCUCAGCCCCUCCAGCCCUCCCUUCAUCCUGUUAUUUAUUUGGAUGGUUUCAAAUCAAGACAGAGUCCAUGUUGGAGGUGAUAAAGAACUGUUAAAAAAAAAAAAAAAAAAGACAAAAAAAAAGAACAAAAACAAAAAACCAAACCCAAAACCCAACAAGAACACUUUGCGUUGAGUUUAGACACUAUUUAUUACCGAGAUUACAGGCCUGGCCGCGGUAACAGACUUUUACAUGGAAUUGUUUAAUUAUUUGUACUUUUCAUGCCAGAA